Molecule: ribosomal RNA, 2244 nt
Filed under: Shigella sonnei
Lineage: Bacteria; Pseudomonadati; Pseudomonadota; Gammaproteobacteria; Enterobacterales; Enterobacteriaceae
Description: bacterial LSU rRNA
Rfam family: Bacterial large subunit ribosomal RNA
Source: RNAcentral
CCAUCCUCCAAGGCUAAAUACUCCUGACUGACCGAUAGUGAACCAGUACCGUGAGGGAAAGGCGAAAAGAACCCCGGCGAGGGGAGUGAAAAAGAACCUGAAACCGUGUACGUACAAGCAGUGGGAGCACGCUUAGGCGUGUGACUGCGUACCUUUUGUAUAAUGGGUCAGCGACUUAUAUUCUGUAGCAAGGUUAACCGAAUAGGGGAGCCGAAGGGAAACCGAGUCUUAACUGGGCGUUAAGUUGCAGGGUAUAGACCCGAAACCCGGUGAUCUAGCCAUGGGCAGGUUGAAGGUUGGGUAACACUAACUGGAGGACCGAACCGACUAAUGUUGAAAAAUUAGCGGAUGACUUGUGGCUGGGGGUGAAAGGCCAAUCAAACCGGGAGAUAGCUGGUUCUCCCCGAAAGCUAUUUAGGUAGCGCCUCGUGAAUUCAUCUCCGGGGGUAGAGCACUGUUUCGGCAAGGGGGUCAUCCCGACUUACCNNNNNNNNNNNNGCUUAUGCGUUGUUGGGUAGGGGAGCGUUCUGUAAGCCUGCGAAGGUGUGCUGUGAGGCAUGCUGGAGGUAUCAGAAGUGCGAAUGCUGACAUAAGUAACGAUAAAGCGGGUGAAAAGCCCGCUCGCCGGAAGACCAAGGGUUCCUGUCCAACGUUAAUCGGGGCAGGGUGAGUCGACCCCUAAGGCGAGGCCGAAAGGCGUAGUCGAUGGGAAACAGGUUAAUAUUCCUGUACUUGGUGUUACUGCGAAGGGGGGACGGAGAAGGCUAUGUUGGCCGGGCGACGGUUGUCCCGGUUUAAGCGUGUAGGCUGGUUUUCCAGGCAAAUCCGGAAAAUCAAGGCUGAGGCGUGAUGACGAGGCACUACGGUGCUGAAGCAACAAAUGCCCUGCUUCCAGGAAAAGCCUCUAAGCAUCAGGUAACAUCAAAUCGUACCCCAAACCGACACAGGUGGUCAGGUAGAGAAUACCAAGGCGCUUGAGAGAACUCGGGUGAAGGAACUAGGCAAAAUGGUGCCGUAACUUCGGGAGAAGGCACGCUGAUAUGUAGGUGAAGUCCCUUGCGGAUGGAGCUGAAAUCAGUCGAAGAUACCAGCUGGCUGCAACUGUUUAUUAAAAACACAGCACUGUGCAAACACGAAAGUGGACGUAUACGGUGUGACGCCUGCCCGGUGCCGGAAGGUUAAUUGAUGGGGUCAGCGCAAGCGAAGCUCUUGAUCGAAGCCCCGGUAAACGGCGGCCGUAACUAUAACGGUCCUAAGGUAGCGAAAUUCCUUGUCGGGUAAGUUCCGACCUGCACGAAUGGCGUAAUGAUGGCCAGGCUGUCUCCACCCGAGACUCAGUGAAAUUGAACUCGCUGUGAAGAUGCAGUGUACCCGCGGCAAGACGGAAAGACCCCGUGAACCUUUACUAUAGCUUGACACUGAACAUUGAGCCUUGAUGUGUAGGAUAGGUGGGAGGCUUUGAAGUGUGGACGCCAGUCUGCAUGGAGCCGGCCUUGAAAUACCACCCUUUAAUGUUUGAUGUUCUAACGUGGACCCGUGAUCCGGGUUGCGGACAGUGUCUGGUGGGUAGUUUGACUGGGGCGGUCUCCUCCUAAAGAGUAACGGAGGAGCACGAAGGUUGGCUAAUCCUGGUCGGACAUCAGGAGGUUAGUGCAAUGGCAUAAGCCAGCUUGACUGCGAGCGUGACGGCGCGAGCAGGUGCGAAAGCAGGUCAUAGUGAUCCGGUGGUUCUGAAUGGAAGGGCCAUCGCUCAACGGAUAAAAGGUACUCCGGGGAUAACAGGCUGAUACCGCCCAAGAGUUCAUAUCGACGGCGGUGUUUGGCACCUCGAUGUCGGCUCAUCACAUCCUGGGGCUGAAGUAGGUCCCAAGGGUAUGGCUGUUCGCCAUUUAAAGUGGUACGCGAGCUGGGUUUAGAACGUCGUGAGACAGUUCGGUCCCUAUCUGCCGUGGGCGCUGGAGAACUGAGGGGGGCUGCUCCUAGUACGAGAGGACCGGAGUGGACGCAUCACUGGUGUUCGGGUUGUCAUGCCAAUGGCACUGCCCGGUAGCUAAAUGCGGAAGAGAUAAGUGCUGAAAGCAUCUAAGCACGAAACUUGCCCCGAGAUGAGUUCUCCCUGACCCUUUAAGGGUCCUGAAGGAACGUUGAAGACGACGACGUUGAUAGGCCGGGUGUGUAAGCGCAGCGAUGCGUUGAGCUAACCGGUACUAAUGAACCGUGAGGCUUAACCUUACAACGCCGAAG